GUUUUGAAUGAGAAGACUGGGAAGGUUUAUAACACUUUGCUCUAAUAUACUCCUUUAUCACCAUGCUUAUUGUCAAUAUCUGUGCCCUUAUACUGUGCAUUUUCUUAUUAUUUUGCAUAAUGGUUGUAAGCAGGAAUAGUUUCAUUUCUUGUUUGAGCAGUGGUUAAGAAGAUUUUGCUUAGAUUUAUUUUGCACCUAACAGCUAAAAAAAUUUAUAACUUUGACGUGUUUUGGCAAUUUUAUUAUCCUAACCUUUUAAUUUUUGCAAGUUUGUCCAAUUGAUCAAAAUUUAUCAAAAUUGGAAUAACAAAUUUUAAUACAAAUUUUAAUGGAGAAUAAUUUGAUUAUAGCAUGUCGUGGAAUGACUUGCAGCUAAUUUUGACUAAUUUUUUUAUUCAAAUUGGUGAUAAAAUAUGAAGUUUUAUUUUAAUUUUGACUAGUUGGAUAAAAUUGCAACUAAGUUUUGAAGUCACGACGAAAUUGCCAAAAAUUAAAAGACUUGGACAAAUUGCAAAAAC
RNAcentral lists this unclassified non-coding RNA (518 nucleotides) under Hevea brasiliensis (rubber tree). The record is from RNAcentral. Lineage: Eukaryota; Viridiplantae; Streptophyta; Magnoliopsida; Malpighiales; Euphorbiaceae.